GGAUGAUAUGAUUGAAUUCACCCUCUGAUCUCCAAUGGCCUAAGUGACUAUAAGUAUUUAAAAAUAAUUCUUGGGGCCUGACAAAGGUUUGGGAGGUAUGUGGUUAAAUUGCAGCUACUGUGAGGUUUUUGACACUAUGUUUAAAAAUAGUUAUAUUCUUGUAAAAAUAAAUGCACAUGGAAAUGAACAAUGUAUACUAAGUAGGAGGAAUAAAAUAUAUUAAAAGAAUCAGAGAAGUAGUUGUUAAAAAAACAGAAUGGAUACAUUAUGGCAAAAUUUGCCUUUAGUUUUCAGAGAGGUCAUUGACAUAGGAAAUAUAUUGGAUUCUUUAUCUUGUCAUUUCUGAUUAGAAAAAAAUUAAUCUUACAAGUAUGUUUGAAGAGAUCUGGUGUAGCAAUAAAUACCCCAAAUUCUAGUAAAUAUAAUACCACUUUUAUGUUAAUGUUAUCAUUACAUUUCAUGUACAGCUGCAGUUUCCACUAAAGUCCUCGUUAUACUUCAUGUAAAUUUCUACACAUUUAAAAAUAUACAGCAAUAUGUGAAUAUAUGAAAAUGUCUUUUACUGUAAGAUCAAUUUUCUCUUAUUUUACAAUGGGAGAUUUCAAUGGAGGAGAAACCCAAAUGUCAAAAUCCUGAGUUUUUUUAGCUAGGAUUUUGACUAUUCCAGUGCCUCUAGAAACAAAUUUACUAAGUCAUUUUUUUCAGAUUCAAAAAAAAGGUUUUGUUUCUCUCACCAUAAUGGUAUCUGUGUAAACUGACUUUGUGUUUUGUCAAAAUACUUUAUGAGUGUUGCCAAAACAUAACCUCCCCUAAUAAAGU
Molecule: long non-coding RNA, 819 nt
Filed under: Homo sapiens (human)
Lineage: Eukaryota; Metazoa; Chordata; Mammalia; Primates; Hominidae
Description: HSALNT0165444
Source: RNAcentral